AGGAAACUACAUUAGAAGCGACAACCGGUCGCCAUUUUCGCAAUUUGCGAAAAAAUAAUAAUUGUGGCGAUAAAAAUUCGUCAUUUGCGAAAGAAUUUGGCGAAAGAAAUAUAUAAAACGAUUUAUUUUCCUCCAUCUUGUUAAUUUACUUUAAUUUUUUCUCGAGUUUCUCGGACUUUACCCGAUCAGACAAUACUCGGAAUUCACCUUGACCUCAUUAAGAUUUUGACAGAAAAUCAAUAAUCAGCUGAUUGCAUUUAAAAGCUAUCGACAAAAAGACUAAUUUAAAAGGUGUUUGAUUGAAUUGUUUGACAAAAUGAUAUGGUUAAAUGGCUUCCGCUAAAUGUCACAUACAGAAUUUAUUUACCACCUUGCGACGCACGUGUUUGAAGCAAACUUUUGACGUCUCCUCUCCUUUUAAAGAAAGUUUAGAAAAGAAAGCUUUGUUGUGACGAAAAAUGUUCAAAAGCAAGAAAAGUCUCCGAUUUAAAACUGUAAUUAUCAUUUGGUUUUAAUAUAGGUAAUUGAUUAGGGAGACUACUUUAAAGUCGUGUGAGUGACACGCGUGUUUCAAGCAUAGUUUUACGUCUCAACUUUUUUAUUUACGAUGGUCAAGAAAAGAAAACUGCCGUUAUGACGAAAUCUAUCCAAAUUCAUUUAAAAUAAAAUAAGUUUGAGGGAAUAAUCAUAGACACAGUGGAGCAAAAUCAUCUUAUUUAAGGGAGGGGCGGGGUUGGGUAGAAAAAAAGGUAAAUUUUAAACGAAAAUAUAGUUAUGUUACUUGCGAAAAAAAUAAUAAAGUGGCGAAAAAUAUAUUGUUUUGGCGAAAGAGGUGGCAAAAAAUAAUUGACCCAGGGGAAACCUGGCGACAACAGUUGGACAGACGACAACAUUUGGACAGACGACAACAGUUGGACAGACGACAACAUUUGGACAGACGACAACAGUUGGACAGACGACAACAGUUGGACAGACGACAACAGUUGGACAGACGACAACAUUUGGACAGACGACAACAGUUGGACAGACGAGAACAGUUGGACAGACGACAACAGUAGAUCCUAGAUUCUCAGCAUGCAAAGGUCCUUUUACAAAAAGUGAGGAGCAUUUAUAUAUUUUUACAUCCAACUUUGGUUCUUUUUACAUCAACCAAAUUGAUGAAAAAAACAAUCUGCUCUGUUGUUGGGUUGUUGUCUCUUUGACAUAUUUCCCUUUUCUAUCCAAACCAGUAGAACAAAGUAAAAUCACACAAAUUGCUUCGAAGAAAUUUUGAAACGAAAGGUCAAAUUACAAAACAAAGAGCUCAAAUACACCACACGAAUGAAUAAAACCGUCAUAUUCAUGACUUGAUACAGAUAUUUUCUUUCGAAGAAAAUUGUGGCUUGAACCUUGUUUUAUAGUAGGUAGCUUAACCUUUUUUCAUGUAUGGCAGUCGGAUAAAAAAAAAAACAUUUUAAAUUGACAACUAUGUGUGAAUAAAACAAACCGACAUCAUACGUAAAAAAUGUCAAAAAUAGAGGUACAGUAGGCAACGUUGCGUCAUAAUCAUCAACACUUCAAAAACAAACAAACAGCAACAAAGAAGCACAAUAAUGAGGUUUAUUUUCAGCUUCCUGUUUAAAAAUCUGUUUGUAUAUAUAUUUUUUUUAAGUUCGCAAUGCUGCUACAAUAAAGUUUACUCUUAGGUGUAACUUACUUUCAUAAUGAUACUAUAUUCGAUUUUUGACAGAUACUGGAGAGUUUU
RNAcentral lists this long non-coding RNA (1744 nucleotides) under Mytilus galloprovincialis (Mediterranean mussel). The record is from RNAcentral. Lineage: Eukaryota; Metazoa; Mollusca; Bivalvia; Mytilida; Mytilidae.